RNA transcript from Mercenaria mercenaria, 6001 nucleotides. RefSeq lists it as uncharacterized. The transcript has 14 exons. The record is from RefSeq and is a predicted model, not a curated record. Lineage: Eukaryota; Metazoa; Mollusca; Bivalvia; Venerida; Veneridae.
ACAAGUUACAGUUUUGAAUGAGCUGUGUUAUUAAUCCGACGUAAAAUAUGGAUAAUAAAAGCCAGUAUUGUUUCAUAGCGGUAAUGUUGUUUCUAAAACAGCCGUUUGUUUUUGGGGAGGACUGCAAGUGUGAGGGAUUAGUCAAUGUUUUUAAGAGUACAAUGUCGAGGGAAUUAUUUGAUUUGAAGAUGGAGAACACUAUGCUUCAAGCGAGGAUGGAUAAAAUGGAGUCGAUGCUUCAAGAAAAGUCUUCGUCAACAUCGGCUCGGGGUUUGGACACAGCACGGUUUGAAGGGUUUGAAAACAGACUGUCUUCGAUUGAAUCAAACAGACAACAUACCAUUAAGGUCCCUACUAAUACAUUAAAACUGCACAGCUUUAUUGCUAAAGCUCUUCGAUCAGAGAAAGAAAAAAGGAUUCAAGCAGAAUCAAAUACGAGGAAGCACAUGGAAUUCUUCAAUCAAAGUAUUAGUGACUUGAAGAUUAAAGUUGAUUUCGUGCUGAACUCCAACCUAACGUACAUUGUUAAUGGCAUAGAAAAGGUGGAACAAAAGAUGUACGAUGGUCUUGAUCAAGUUAAAAACGACAUCAGAUAUCUUCAAUCAAAUAUUUCAGAACUGCAAAGUCAAAGUAAUGCAUUAAGUGACAAAGAUAUAUCAGAACUAGGGCUCGACCUUGUUGCAAUGAACAAAAGCGUUGCAACGGACAUAGCGGAAAUUGAACAGCGGAUGUCUGAUGGCUUCUUAAAUGUUAAAAACAAGAUCAAGACAAUGCAAACAAAGGUGAAGAAACAGUACCAAGUAAAUGUAUUAAUUGGUAAGAAUGUUACAGCGUUUGAGACAGGCCUUUCUACGAUUGAUCAGGAUGUCAUGACGAUGAAAGCUGAUAUAAAGAGAUUGGAGAAACUAUCACUUAUUUCCUUAAAAGCAAACAAAUGUCCAGAGUUGCCAAGUAUUAGGAAUGGAGAAAUAUUCCAGAAUACAAAUGAAGGAGUUCGAAAUAUUUAUGGAAGUGUGGCCGAAUACACAUGUAAUAUUGGUUACUCUUUGAAUGGCAACAGGAGCAUCAAAGUAUAUAACAGACAGUGUCAAGCAGAUAGAACAUGGAGUGGCAAACAACCAACGUGUGACGAUCCUACAACAAUUAGUGAAGCAGACAAACGUCGUAGUAAAGAUGUCCUUCCUGACAAGAACCAGAUCCAAAAUACACGGAAUGAAGGUUGUACACUUCCUGGUGAUCCACGAUAUACUUACAUGGACUUUUAUGGCUUUUACAAAGAUCCAGGUUCAUUAAUUUCUGAUGGAACUAUAUUGACAGUGGCAUGUACAACACUGGAUCUAUAUGAGUUUUACGCGAGUUAUGAUUCCGAUUAUGAUAACAAUUCAACAUCAACAAUAACCUGCAUGAACAAUACUUUAUCUCAACUUGAACUAGAUUGUCCUGAAGUGAUACCAAACACAUGCAUGGAAUUGCAGCAUGGCAGUGUCAACGUACAGAAUGGAUACUUCAUUGUUUCGUGUGAUAAAGGGUAUUCGUUAGAUUUGAUAGUACCAGAAAGACCUCAGUGUACAUGUGAAAAUAACCAGCUUAAAAGUGUAUUUGGAGGCCAAACACCGGCUUGUAUACCAGAGAAAUGUGUGGUGCCCUAUGUAUUUGACGUACGUUUAUCUGUGACAGACACAAGGCGUGUCAGUCUUUCUGGAGGUUCCGUUGUUGAGGUUGGAGACUUUGUUUAUUUUAAUUGUUCAAAACCCGGUAUAUUGAAAUAUGAACCUUUGAACAGACGAUUCCAAUGUGUGAACGGCCUCUGGAAAGAAGCUGAAACAGAUCGCAACUGGAAGUUAGGAUAUGAUGGUGAAUUUCCGGCUUGCAGAAGAGAGUGGUACUCCGAUCAUUUUGUUGUAGUUGAGAUAAGCAGAGUUGUUGUGCAUGAUAGAUCCCUUUUCAAAGAAUGUGUCUGUGUUCUAGCCGUAUGCGAACCAAACUGUACAAAUGGCGGUGUUUGUUUCAAGGACGACAACUGUCGAUGUAAACAUCUAACAGAGGGAAAACGAUGUGAAAGUGUGAGUAUCAAAGAUGUUUCUCCUAUUAGCUUUAAAAGACCUUUGGUAAAAUUGUACUUAACCACAUUAUAAAAUAGGUUCGUUGAAAGAUAUAUUUUACUACAAAAUAUCUUGUAGUAAAUAUCAUUAAUCUUAAAUCAUCUUUUUGAAUUCUUUCAACAACUUACAUGAUUUCAGGUCAAGUCAAGUGCAUCCGAACUUCAGUUUUAGGGGGAACAGUUAUGGAAAAAUUACUUUCCUUACAGGUGUUAUUAUUAUACCAGAUUUAUAUAGCGCCCUUUUCAUGAUCAAUUUCACGUUCAAAGGCGCUUUACAUAGUUCAAAUGCAGCCACACAGGGCGCAUAAUUCAUCCUUUACUAGUACAGACACAGAGCGAUCUGACUAGAGGGACAGAGUGAGACAAAGCCCCCACGACAGAGAGAUCAGAAAUCAGAUACAGGCUUGUCCGGCUAACUUAGCCUAGCUCGUUGCGAAUAGACAGCCUGGUUCUUUAACGUGCCCAGUGUAUAGCACUGAUACACGCAAGGAUUGCCUGGGUUCCUGACCAGUACACCUCUAGUUAGGUGGGAAACACUGAAAAGCGUUUCUGAAAAUUCCCGAGUAGCUGCCGGGGAUCGAACCCCCGACCUCAGGAUUGGAAGGCCAGUGUGCAAACCACUGUGUUUAAUCAGCUUUUGGUCUAGUAAUUGAUAUGUUUGAAACAUUAACAAUUAAUCAUUUACACUUAAUUAUGUUCCCUAAGUGCUACGUUUAUGUUACAUUUUCACUGGAGCUAAUUUGAAUUGCGAGUUAUUUUAGUGUAAUUGUAAAUUUGUUCAAUAUAUCAAGUCUAAUAAAAGAUAUAAAUAAAACAACUCUUGUACUACAUUUGUAAAAACAUUUUUAUUGACAAUAGUGAAUUUAGCCGAAUAUUAGAGAUGCAAGUUUGUAAUAGCAUUAUAACAUUGUACCUCUGUUGCGAUAUCAAGUGGUUUUAAAAGUUGUUUUCUGGUUCAGAUUGUUGAAAUAUUCCAAAUGUAUCAAAUCCAAAUGUAAACCUUGAAAUUACAUUAAAUCGGAAUACUCGUAAGGUAUAUAGAUGUUAAAGGAGAGGGGGCGGUAUUGACAUAUUUCUAUCAUAAAAAAGAACAAAACGUACAUUUCUAUGUUUUAUUCCUUGAUAAGUUCGAAAGAGCAAAAAUCCAUAAAAUAUUGAUAAAAUAUGAUUGACAACCUAUAAAAGAAGAUUGAUGAAAUAUUUUGCUUUAUAUCUAUUUAAGGUAUUAAUCUUUCUCAGUGAAGUCAAACUUGUAAGUGGUUUCCUGGCAAUAAACGAACUUUUGUAGCAUAGCUGCCUAAGCAAGAAUGUCGUAUUGCUAUUUAUUUUCAUUACAAAUAUUUUCCAGUUUGUUUUCAAUCCCACCCGAAAUAAACGUAAAAUAAAAAAUAAAUCCAAAUGUUUAAAAUACGUUAUUUCACGCUUCGUACCAAAGGGUACAGGAUACCGCUAGGUACCCUAUUUCAUACAGCUUUACAGCUCUCUGCCGCUUACUCUAUCAGUUACCCGAACACACAAAGAGGAGGCUUUAUUCAUACAAACUGUACUUAGCUCUGUCUCAUGAAAUAUCUAUAAGAUAUUGUGCAAUACCGAUGAGUCAUAUUUACGUAAGCACGUUCAUAACAUUGACGUAGACACAACCCUACACACGUAAGUGAGAGUAACCUAAUAGCAUAAGCAAGAACAAGUUUAUUAGGCAAUUAAGAAAUACUCUGAUCAUGACGUAAAUUCAUUGAUAACUAUCACGGUAACCACUUGAUACACUGCAAUCCAUAUUUUCGAAUAGAUUUCGUAAUCCGAUUAACGUCACAUUGACGCACAUCUUACGUAACUUGUGAAUAUAAAUCAACUGCGUUGGAGCAUGAAAACUAUAUAUAAUAAUAAACACUGUUUACGUCAAUGACCUGGAAUUAAUCCAACGCUUUUACGAAAGAAACAUUUCUAAAAUGUAAUUAGCCUGGUAUAAUGCCAAGGUGAUUUGGUAUAAUGCCAGCUCUCUUAUGAAACGUGCAUAAUCUAAAAGUAAAACAGCCUGCCUAAGAAUAAAACAAUCUAGAAAAUAAGAUUAUAUGCAGUCGCUUAAUGGUACGAAAAUAAUAACUAACUAGACUGUGUUACAAUUUUGUAAUCAUGGUAAAACAUAUUCUAUAUCGUACGUAGGAAUUAUUGUGCCUUGCAUAGGAGUGAUUUUGCCGUACGUAGGAGUAAGUAAGUACUAUGUAGCAUUAUUUUUAUCGAACGUAAGAGUAAGUAUAUACUAUGUAGGAUUUACUAUGUCGUGCAUAGGAGUAAGUAUGUUCAAUGUUACACGCAGGAGUUUUGCGUAGGAUUUAUUGUACCUUACACAGGAGUGAGUGAGUCCUAUCUGGGAGUUAUUAUGUCUUACCUCGGAGUUAGUACGUUCUACGUAUGAGUUUUAAGACGUAGGUUCUUGUAGGAGUUAGCUAUAAUAUGUUAAUACAUGUAUGUACGCUUAAUUUAAUACAAAUAUUUCCAUAUUUCUAGUUAUUUGUCACGACACUUGCUUUGAGAAUGGAGGGAAAUGUGUCGGGCCUGGUAGAUGUUCUUGUCCUGCAGAACGUUUUGGUUUAAACUGUGAACAAAAAGGUUGCAUACUGACAAAACAUACUGCAAAAUACGGAGACCAAAAAAUUGUUAGCCCUGGAACGACGUUAAACAACUUUGCAUGUGACCGUGGUUAUGUUCUUUCAUCGCAAAAGGGAAUGACGUGUCUGGAUGGCGGAACAUGGUCUGAAAUUGUUACAUGCAUUAAAGCCGUCGUAUACCUGAUAAGUGUGAAAACUGUUGCUGCAUGGAAAAAUAUUGGCGAAGGGACAGAUGCUAAGGUGUAUAUUACUCUGCAGGGAUUGAGUGGGAAAACAGAGAAAAUAUAUCUUGCAGGAUCGUUUGAAGCUGGUAAUCUGGACGAGACAAGACUGAAAGCUAAAGAUGUCCGACCGAUUACCAGUGUUGUGAUAGGGCAUGACGGUAGUGGCAGGUUCCUGAUUGGUACCUUGAAUACGUUUCAAUAUAUGUAGAGAAUAUGGAGGAAUAUUACGUCUUUAGGCAUAAUGACUGGGUGGAGGCGGAAAGAGAUGUUCUUUUGCCUAGACAAGGAAUUGAUCAAACAACGUGCAUCGAUACAUUUGAUAGUGGUCAUACGUUGUGGCCAAGAUGGAGUUCAAUAAGAAGAGAAGACAGGUAUGAUAUUAGCAGUCGUCGAAGAAUGUCACUGAGAGGAUGUAAACAAGCGUGCAUCAACCUACAGGUAAUGCAGUGUAAAGCAGUGAUGUAUAGCACAGAUGAUAAAAGUUGCUGGGGCUUUGCUGUAUCCGAUACACGCUAUUUUGAGGAAAAGCAUGGAACAUGGAAUUUACCACUGUAUUUACGAACAUGCAAACGAUCUGAUUAAAAAAUAAACAGUGAUAGCAAAGUGAGCAGAUUGUUUAUGAAAUUAGUUUUGAUUAUGAAUGUAUCAUUUUGUUUUAUACUAAUUGCAGAGCUAACUCAGCUUAUAAACUUUUGCUACUUAAAAAUAUAAUAAAUAAAUUUGUAAAAAAAUGACCAAUAGCCAUACAGUAAAUAUGUAAUCUUAAAGCAAAAAUGUUUGUGUUGCAGCAUUACGCGUUAAGUGUAAUAAAUAUAUAAGUGAACACAGAAUGAAUAUAUAAUGUUAAUAAAAUCAGAAGUCAUUUUUCGAGGGUAUCUGUUUUGGCUCGGUCAGACUUGUGUGAAACUUUAUGGCUUUAAAUAUAAAAGCAUUUGAUAUCUAGCCAAAUUGAAUACUUUUCUUGAGAUUUCCUAGACUUAAAUCAAUAUGCAAUGAUAAAAUAUUUAAGCUGCAAAGCAUAGUUCUGACUAUUGACUAGAAGCAAUUCAGUAAAACAAAUCUUUACAUGA